Molecule: ribosomal RNA, 761 nt
Filed under: Belisana australis
Lineage: Eukaryota; Metazoa; Arthropoda; Arachnida; Araneae; Pholcidae
Description: partial 28S ribosomal RNA
Rfam family: Eukaryotic large subunit ribosomal RNA (bases 483-761)
Source: RNAcentral
AACUGCUCAGAGGCAAACGGGUGGGCCCUCGAAAUCCAUCUGCGAGGGGAUUCAGUCGGAAGGCGGAUGGGCCUGGCGCUGUACAGAGGUGCACGGCUGCCGGGCCGGACCCGAAUCGUCCGACGCACUUCCCCUCGCGCUGUGGACGCUGCAGCCGGUCUGGCCGUGACACAAGUCGGCCGUGAGGACUUGCGACGGCAGGUGACCGAGCCCCCGGCUUGACCGUGGCGGUUCGGUUGUUAGCCGGCUCGUCCGGGCGCGACGCCAGACCGAGGCGCUGGGAUCUCUCCGGAGCCGGCCGUGUCCUCGCCACAAUAGCGAGCGGGGCGCCGUGUCAGGGGCUCGCGGUUGCGAGGGGAGCCACGGUCGACCGUGGCCCUCUCCCUCUGCCCCUCGAUGGACGCGGAUUGCCGACCGCGGCGACGCGACGCUGGCUGGCAGCGAGUAGGUCGGUCACCCACCCGACCCGUCUUGAAACACGGACCAAGGAGUCUAACAUGUGCGCGAGUCGCAGAGUCUUGUUCAGGCUCUCGGGCGCAAUGAGAGUGAAGGCCGAUCCCGUCGGCCGUGUCGGGAAGUCUCCCCCCAGUGGGGGGACGCACCGACGACCCGUCCCGUCCGAUUUAUCGGUGGGGCGGAGUCCGAGCGCACACGUUGGGACCCGAAAGAUGGUGAGCUAUGCCUGGGCAGGACGAAGCCAGAGGAAACUCUGGUGGAAGUCCGCAGCGGUUCUGACGUGCAAAUCGAUCGUCAGACCUGGG